UACGUAGGGGGCGAGCGUUGUCCGGAAUCAUUGGGCGUAAAGCGCGUGUAGGCGGCCCGGUAAGUCCGCUGUGAAAGUCCAGGGCUCAACCCUGGGAUGCCGGUGGAUACUGUCGGGCUCGAGUCCGAAAGAGGCGAGUGGAAUUCCUGGUGUAGCGGUGAAAUGCGCAGAUAUCAGGAGGAACACCAAUGGCGAAGGCAGCUCGCUGGGACGUGACUGACGCUGAGACGCGAAAGCGUGGGGAGCAAACAGG
Molecule: ribosomal RNA, 253 nt
Filed under: uncultured bacterium
Lineage: Bacteria
Description: partial 16S ribosomal RNA
Rfam family: Bacterial small subunit ribosomal RNA
Source: RNAcentral